This 440-nucleotide ribosomal RNA is filed under the name uncultured bacterium. RNAcentral describes it as "partial 16S ribosomal RNA". It matches the Rfam family "Bacterial small subunit ribosomal RNA", at positions 338 to 795 of the family's 1533-position model. The record is from RNAcentral.
CCUACGGGUGGCAGCAGUGGGGAAUAUUGCACAAUGGGGGAAACCCUGACGCAGCGACGCCGCGUGAGUGAAGAAGUACUUCUUUAUGUAAAGCUCUAUCAGCAGGGAAGAAAAUGACGGUACCUGAGUAAUAAUCCCCGGCUAACUACGUUCCAGCCGCCGCGGUAACACGUAGGGGGCAAGCGUUAUCCGGAUUUACUGGGUGGAAAGGGAGCGUAGUCGGCAGUGCAAGUCUGGAGUGAAAGGCGGGGGCUCAACCCCCGGACGGCUCUGGAAACUGUACGGCUGGAGUGCAGGAUAGGUAAGUGGAAUUCCUAGUGUAGCGGUGAAAUGCGUAGAUAUUAGGAGGAACACCAGUGGCGAAGGCGGCUUACUGGAGUGUAACUGACGUUGAGGCUCGAAAGCGUGGGGAGCAAACAGGAUUAGAUACCCUUGUAGUC